UCAUUAACAUUCAAUAGUUAUUUGUGAAUUUGGUCAGGACUUGAUUGAAGCAGCCAUAAGCGUAAUGAUUAUGUGAGUGUUAAUGAAAU
RNAcentral lists this signal recognition particle RNA (89 nucleotides) under Acholeplasmatales bacterium. RNAcentral's name for it is "signal recognition particle sRNA small type". It matches the Rfam family "Bacterial small signal recognition particle RNA". From Rfam's summary of the family: The signal recognition particle (SRP) is a universally conserved ribonucleoprotein involved in the co-translational targeting of proteins to membranes. Archaeal SRP consists of a 7S RNA and homologues of the eukaryotic SRP19 and SRP54 proteins. Lineage: Bacteria; Bacillati; Mycoplasmatota; Mollicutes; Acholeplasmatales. The record is from RNAcentral.